GAAGUUGCAGGUAUUAGACCCGAAACCGGGUGACCUAUCCAUGAGCAGGCUGAAGCGGUGGUAAGACACCGUGGAGGGCCGCACCCACGUCUGUUGAAAAAGCCGGGGAUGACUUGUGGAUAGCGGAGAAAUUCCAAUCGAACUCGGAGAUAGCUGGUUCUCCCCGAAAUAGCUUUAGGGCUAGCGUUAUUUUAGAUUACCGGAGGUAAAGCACUGAAUGGUCUAGGGGCCGCGAGGUUACCAAAGCCUAUCAAACUCUGAAUGCCGGAUAAUUGAUGAAUAGCAGUCAGACUGUGUGAGAUAAGUCUCAUAGUCAAAAGGGAAACAGCCCAGAUCUACAGCUAAGGUCCCAAAUGAACACUAAGUGGAAAAUGAUGUGAAACUGCGAAGACAACCAGGAUGUUGGCUUAGAAGCAGCCACUCAUUCAAAGAGUGCGUAAUAGCUCACUGGUCGAGUGGUUUUGCGCAGAAAAUGUAACGGGGCUAAGUGUUCAACCGAAGCUUAGGCAUUGCAGCAAUGCAUUGGGUAGGGGAGCGUCGUAUGCGGGGUGAAGUCAGAGCGGAAGCACUGGUGGACUGCAUACGAGUGAGAAUGCCGGAAUAAGUAGCGAGAAUUAUGUGAGAAUCAUAAUGGCCGAAAAUCUAAGGUUUCUUGGGGAAGGUUCGUCCGCCCAAGGUUAGUCGGGAGCUAAGCUCAGGCCGAAAGGCGUAGGCGAUGCACAUACGGUAGAAAUUCCGUAACCACCGAACAUUUAAGCUAGAGGGACGCUUUCAUUAAGGUUAUCCCGGGCGAUGGUUGCCCCGGGCGUAAGGGACCGAAAUAUAGUAGGGAAGUAACUGGCGAGAGAGACGAGAAAAGCUCUAGUGUAUACUAAGGUGCCCGUACCGCAAACCGACACAGGUAGAUGGGAUGAGUAUUCUAAGGCCAACGGGAGAAGGGUUGUUAAGGAACUCGGCAAAUUGGCCCCGUAACUUCGGGAUAAGGGGCGCUGCGAGAGCAGCCGCAGUGAAAAGGCCCAAGCGACUGUUUAGCAAAAACACAGCUCUCUGCUAAAUCGAAAGAUGACGUAUAGGGGGUGACGCCUGCCCGGUGCUGGAAGGUUAAGGGGAGUGCUUAGCGCAAGCGAAGGUGCGAACUUAAGCCCCAGUAAACGGCGGCCGUAACUAUAACGGUCCUAAGGUAGCGAAAUUCCUUGUCAGGUAAGUUCUGACCCGCACGAAUGGCGUAACGAUUUGGGCACUGUCUCAACAGCCCGCCCGGCGAAAUUGUAGUACCGGUGAAGAUGCCGGUUUCCCGCAACUAGACGGAAAGACCCCAUGGAGCUUCACUGUAGCUUGAUAUUGGAUCUCGGUAUUCCAUGUACAGGAUAGGUGGGAGACUUGGAAGUAAGCGCGCCAGCGUUUAUGGAGUCAACCUUGGGAUACCACUCUUGGGAUAUUGGGAUUCUAACCUGCGACCAUGAAUCUGGUCGGGGGACACUGUCAGGUGGGCAGUUUGACUGGGGCGGUCGCCUCCAAAAGAGUAACGGAGGCGCUCAAAGGUUCGUUCAGCACGGAUGGAAAUCGUGCACUGAGUGUAAACGCAUAAACGAGCCUAACUGCGAGAAUGACGGUUCGAGCAGUAACGAAAGUUGGAGUUAGUGAUCCGGCGGUAU
This 1655-nucleotide ribosomal RNA is filed under the name human gut metagenome. RNAcentral's name for it is "bacterial LSU rRNA". It matches the Rfam family "Bacterial large subunit ribosomal RNA", at positions 696 to 2429 of the family's 2925-position model. The record is from RNAcentral.